This 429-nucleotide ribosomal RNA is filed under the name Chloroflexota bacterium. RNAcentral's name for it is "Chloroflexi bacterium partial 16S ribosomal RNA". It matches the Rfam family "Bacterial small subunit ribosomal RNA", at positions 355 to 776 of the family's 1533-position model. Lineage: Bacteria; Bacillati; Chloroflexota. The record is from RNAcentral.
UGGGGAAUAUUGCACAAUGGGCGCAAGCCUGAUGCAGCCAUGCCGCGUGUGUGAAGAAGGCCUUCGGGUUGUAAAGCACUUUCAGCGGGGAGGAAGGCGAUAAGGUUAAUAACCUUGUCGAUUGACGUUACCCGCAGAAGAAGCACCGGCUAACUCCGUGCCAGCAGCCGCGGUAAUACGGAGGGUGCAAGCGUUAAUCGGAAUUACUGGGCGUAAAGCGCACGCAGGCGGUCUGUCAAGUCGGAUAUGAAAUCCCCGGGCUCAACCUGGGAACUGCAUUCGAAACUGGCAGGCUAGAGUCUUGUAGAGGGGGGUAGAAUUCCAGGUGUAGCGGUGAAAUGCGUAGAGAUCUGGAGGAAUACCGGUGGCGAAGGCGGCCCCCUGGACAAAGACUGACGCUCAGGUGCGAAAGCGUGGGGAGCAAACAGG